Molecule: ribosomal RNA, 535 nt
Filed under: Hyperolius frontalis (white-snouted reed frog)
Lineage: Eukaryota; Metazoa; Chordata; Amphibia; Anura; Hyperoliidae
Description: partial large subunit ribosomal RNA
Rfam family: Bacterial large subunit ribosomal RNA
Source: RNAcentral
GCCUGCCCCGUGAUUCAUUUUAACGGCCGCGGUAUCUUAACCGUGCAAAGGUAGCAUAAUCAAUUGUCUCUUAAAUCGGGACUAGUAUGAACGGCACCACGAGGGUUUAACUGUCUCCCUAUUUUAAUCAAUGAAAUUAACCUUCCCGUGAAGAGCCGGGAAUAUAAUUAUAAGACGAGAAGACCCCAUGGAGCUUUAAACUUAUUGUCACUUAUUUAAUAGUACAACACACCACCAAAUAAGAAUGUCUAAUAGUUUUUGGUUGGGGCGACCCUGGAGAAAAAUAAAUCCUCCAGAUUGAAAGAGAUAAUAACCCUCAUGUAAGAACCACAGCUCAAACAAACAAAAAUUUGACAAAACUGACCCAGAAUUAACUGAUCAGUGAACCAAGUUACCCUGGGGAUAACAGCGCAAUCCAUUUCAAGAGCCCAUAUCGACAAAUGGGUUUACGACCUCGAUGUUGGAUCAGGGGAUCCUAGCAGCGCAGCCGUUGCUAAUGGUUCGUUUGUUCAACGAUUAAUGCCCUACGUGAUCU